CUAACACAGAGGCAAGGGGCACCCCCUCUUCAGACAAUGAGCUUCUGAGCCUCCCCCCAACUCUUUCUGACAGGGACAUUUGGGGUCAUAUGAUUGGGCCUAGCAAUGCAUGAGAUCAAUUAAGAGUGGUUGAGAGGAGGGUUUGAAAGGCCCCUGAGGUGACCCUGCCUGAUGGUAAGGACCCAGGGCCUGGGAGCCCCUGCCUGGUGGUAAGGACCCAGGGCCUGGGAGCCCCUACCUCCAGCAGCUCUACCCCUGUCUCCCUCCCCAGGCUAAUCAAGACCAGAGGUGGGUCAAGGAGCCAGAUAUUUAUCUGAACCAGUGAAUAGCUCCUCCAGCUGGGAUGGUACUCAGGACGUGGUGAAGACGAGCAUCCUGCUGUGGUCACUGAGGGUAACGAACAGAGAUGGAAGCCCCACAUUCCUACCCGAGCGAGAAGGGUUCUCUUGUACCCUCUUAACCCCAGACCCUGGUCCUAGUGACAGGGACACCUCUCUAACCCCUCACUCACCCAGCUGGGCACCAGAUCAACUGCAGUUACCAAAGCAGGUCAGACAAGGUUAAGCAGCUCCAUCAGGAUAAUCUGGGAUGAUGGUGUCUGCUAAGCUGUGUGACUUUAUAAUGGGGGAAUACUGGUAGGACUGGGUAGAGUCCCAGUUUAUGACCUCUACAAUGACCCUAGACUUGAUCCCUGUGUAGCCAUCUUGCUCACUGACAUGACCCUCUGACCCCAUAGUUAUGAAGCCACAGGAAUAACUAGAACUAAUCAGGUGACUGUAAAGAGGGCUUGACAUACACAAUGAGGUACUAAGACCUCCAAUCAAACACAAAGUGUCCUUAUUAACUCAUGGAUUAAAUCAGGAUCCAUCUAUGCAUGUCUACAUAGUUACAUACCAUGAUUAUAUUAUUAACAUAUGUACUUCUGGAUUAUAAUAACUGCCAAAAUAAUGGAAACACUUCACUAAAAGCAGGUGCUUCCAUACAGGUGUGGUUCCUGAGUUAAUUAAGCAAUUAACAUCCCAUCAUGCUUAGGGACAUGUAUAAAAGUCCUGGGCAUGCCAUUAUUUUGGCAACCAUGCCUAUGCCCCAAUAGGAUGACAAUGCCCCCAUCCACAGGGCACAAGUGGUCACUGAAUGGUUUGAUGAGCAUGAAAAUGAUGUAUGAAAAUGUACGAAUAAUGCCAUGGCCAUCUCAAUUUAUGGAAUUUCUAAUGUAAUGGUGUCGCAUCCCUCCGAUAGAGUUCCAGACACUUGUAGAAUCUAUGCCAAGGUUCAUUGAAGCUGUUCUGGCUCGUGGUGGCCCAACGCCCUGUUGAGGCACUUUGUUAUUUUUUUGAUAUCUGUUGACAAAUUUUCUAAAAGACAAAAACGGAACAGGAACACAGAAUGAAAAGUCUAGACCACCAGUCUUGUUCCACCAGAGUGCAAAGCUAUAUCACAUCACAACACGCCAUCUUGAGUUCAUUUGAGAGGGAGCUAGAACAGCGACAGCAGCUUUAGCCAAUCUGUUCCUAUCAUCAUAUUAGUGGAAUGCUCACCCCACCGGGUGGCAGGUAUGUGGGCCUGCUAAAGGCCAGGCUGAUGGGGAUCACAUGACCUGGCUGUCAGGCAGGCAGAGAAAGUGGCAGAUCAGCUCCCAGAGUGUUUCUGGCUCUGUUGUGCAAAUACUGCUGCUCUGCGCUGCCUGCUAGUGGGAGUACAGAGAGAUGCAGGCCAUCCCUGAGGGGGUUCCCUCUUCUUCAACCAACCUCUCUGAUUUACUGACCAAAUGGUUACUUAACCUUAUAUAAGAUGAUACAGAAUGGCUGUCACCGUGACAACACAACAGAACACACUGAUUCUGUUACCAUGGCACCACCUCACCUCUCCUCAUUUGAUGGGCUUCCAUGACUUAACAUAAGGCCAUUUGUAUUGCAUGAGACUUAAAUCAACACAAAAGGUGAACCUCAACCUGCCGUCAGCGAUGAUGGUAAAAAGAAUAGUCUGAGUGACUCACCUGAAGUGCAAUCUAUGUAAAUGGAAAACAUUGUGUAACAGGCUGUAGUCAUAGGAAGGUAGUCAUAGAGUACAUUCACACACACUCUUAAAUAUGCAUACGGAGGAUGUACUCACAGACAUUCCCUGUAUUGUCAAAACCUCGUCCACUCUGAUGGGCCCAAUGUUAUCGUGUGUGUGUGUGUGUGUAAGCUGCAAGGUGCUCGGCGUACUCAUAGGACAACAAGCAUCUCAAACCCACCUGAGAAAGGCGAUGUAUCCUGACUGGUUGCAUCACUGCCUGGUACGGCAAUUGCUCGGCCUCUGAUUGCAAGGCACUACAGAGGGUAGUGCGUACGGCCCAGUACAUCACUGGGGCUAAGCUGCCUGCCAUCCAGGACCUCUACACCAGGCAGUGUCAGAGGAAGGCCCUAAAAAUUGUCAAAGAACCCAGCCACCCCAGUCAUAGACUGUUCUCUCUACUACCGCAUGGAAAGCGGUACCGGAGUGCCAAGUCUAGGACAAAAAGGCUUCUCAACAGUUUUUACCCCCAAGCCAUAAGACUCCUGAACAGGUAAUCAAAUGGCUACCCGGACUAUUUGCCUUGUGUGCCCCCCUCCUCCCCAACCCCUUUUUACGCUGCUGC
RNAcentral lists this long non-coding RNA (2620 nucleotides) under Salmo salar (Atlantic salmon). RNAcentral's name for it is "lncRNA (ENSSSAG00000105151.1, ENSSSAG00000118869.1)". The record is from RNAcentral. Lineage: Eukaryota; Metazoa; Chordata; Actinopteri; Salmoniformes; Salmonidae.